This 316-nucleotide ribosomal RNA is filed under the name uncultured Glomeromycotina. Its description in RNAcentral is "LSU rRNA". The record is from RNAcentral. Lineage: Eukaryota; Fungi; Glomeromycota.
UUGAAAGGGAAACGAUUGAAGUCAGUCGUGCAGUCAUCAAUUCAGCGGUUAACAUUUUUAUGUUUCCGUGUAAUUUGGUGUCUGUUGGUUAGCAUCAAUUUUGAUUGUUAUAAAAAGGUUAAGGGGAUGUGGCUCCUUCGGGAGUGUUAUAACCCUUAGCGUAAUGUGACGAUUAGGAUUGAGGUUUGCAACGAAUACCUUUUAGGGCAGUUUCGCUGGCCUCUCGUGGAGCCAUAGAGGGUAAGAGCAUGCUCUUACACUCUAUGCGUUCUGCGAAAAGGUUGGAUGAAACUAAUUCGUUAAGGAUUGACGUACU